Molecule: ribosomal RNA, 292 nt
Filed under: Salmonella enterica
Lineage: Bacteria; Pseudomonadati; Pseudomonadota; Gammaproteobacteria; Enterobacterales; Enterobacteriaceae
Description: partial 23S ribosomal RNA
Rfam family: Bacterial large subunit ribosomal RNA
Source: RNAcentral
AGACCCGAAACCCGGUGAUCUAGCCAUGGGCAGGUUGAAGGUUGGGUAACACUAACUGGAGGACCGAACCGACUAAUGUUGAAAAAUUAGCGGAUGACCUGUGGCUGGGGGUGAAAGGCCAAUCAAACCGGGAGAUAGCUGGUUCUCCCCGAAAGCUAUUUAGGUAGCGCCUCGUGAAUUCAUCUCCGGGGGUAGAGCACUGUUUCGGCUAGGGGGCCAUCCCGGCUUACCAACCCGAUGCAAACUGCGAAUACCGGAGAAUGUUAUCACGGGAGACACACGGCGGGUGCUA